GUAAAGUUUGAUUCUAGCUUAUAACUUAAAUUUAAGAUUAUUUUACAUGUAAAUUUUUAUAUUAUUUUUAUUAUCUAAAUGAUAUUAAUUAAUAUCACAGUAUAUAGUAUUAUAUAUUAGUAAGAUUAGAUAUAGUAAUUUUUAUUAGAAUGGACCAAUCUCGUGCCAGCAGUCGCGGUUAUACGAUUCAUUUAAUUUAAGUAUUUAGAUUCCAGUUAAAUUAAAUUUGAUUAUAAAUUUUAUAAAUUUUGGUGAAAUAUAUUUAUAAAUAAAUUCCAUUAUUAUGUCUGAGAAACCCAAUUUUAGACUAGGAUUAGAUACCCUAUUAUUUAGGGUGUAAAAAUAAAUAAUUAGAUAAUUAAAAGUUAUGAUCUUCAAAUUCAAAGAAUUUGGCGGUAAUUUAUCUUUUCAGAGGAACCUGUUCUAUAAUUGAUAAUCCACGAUGCAUUCCACUUUAAUUAUACUUGUAUAUCUCUGUCAAGAAUGUUCUAUAAGGAAAGAUUUUCAUUCAUUUUAUAGAUAAAAUGUCAGGUCAAGGUGCAGUUUAUAUUAAAGCAGAAAUGGGUUACAUUUUAUUAAAACUGGAUCAAUAUUUAAAUAAAAUAUUGUGAAAUAGGAUUUGAUAAUAAAUUUGUUAAGUUAAAUUAAUUGAAUCAAGCUCUAGAUUAUGUACACAUCGCCCGUCACUCUCACCCUAAGGUGAGAUAAGUCGUAACAAAGUAGCUGUACCGGAAGGUGUGGCUAGAAUGA
RNAcentral lists this non-coding RNA (750 nucleotides) under Chonosia atrodorsalis. The record is from RNAcentral. Lineage: Eukaryota; Metazoa; Arthropoda; Insecta; Hemiptera; Cicadidae.